RNAcentral lists this ribosomal RNA (369 nucleotides) under uncultured alga. RNAcentral describes it as "bacterial LSU rRNA". It matches the Rfam family "Bacterial large subunit ribosomal RNA", at positions 2098 to 2465 of the family's 2925-position model. The record is from RNAcentral.
CCUUUACUAUAGCUUCGCCUUGGCGUUAGCGACCGUAUGUGUAGGAUAGGUGGGGAGGCUAUGAAACCGGGGCGCCAGCUCUGGUGGAGCCAUCCUUGAAAUACCACCCUUACUGUCGUUGACGUCUAACCGAGGGCCGUUAUCCGGUCCCGGGACAUGGCGUGGUGGGUAGUUUGACUGGGCGGUCGCCUCCUAAAGUGUAACGGAGGCGCGCGAUGGUGGGCUCAGACCGGUCGGAAAUCGGUCGUCGAGUGCAAUGGCAUAAGCCCGCCUGACUGCCGAGACUGACAAGUCGAGCAGAGACGAAAGUCGGCCAUAGUGAUCCGGUGGUCCCGCGUGGAAGGGCCAUCGCUCAACGGAUAAAAGGUA